Long non-coding RNA from Lates calcarifer (barramundi perch), 507 nucleotides. RefSeq lists it as uncharacterized. The record is from RefSeq and is a predicted model, not a curated record. The transcript is spliced from 2 exons. NCBI's taxonomy places the organism in Eukaryota, Metazoa, Chordata, Actinopteri, Centropomidae.
CAACAACUCGUGAGUUUCUCGUUGGGCUCGGAUGUGACUCAGAGAACUGACCAAAGAUGGAAACGUAUAAGUAACAUAUACGCGCCCCUCGGCUUCCGUAGAGCAAACAGAUCUCCUCUGGGUCUGCUGUCCUGUGGCUCUGCAGAUGGAGCUCGUGGGAUUCACCCUCCUCUGCUCCUGGUCCGUCCAGUUUUUCAGCAGCGUCCACGCUCCAGCGUCAGGUAGGUCUCUACAGCCCGGCUCACCUGGACGAGUCUUUGUGGUUUCUGGUGAUGAUGCGGUCCUCCCAUGUCACCUCGACACCUCCGUGCCCUCACGUGUCAUGACACUGGAGUGGUCACGGGUGGAUGGUCCGUCCCCAUUGACGGUUCAUGUCCUCCGCGAUCAUUUUUGAUCAUCAUCACUUUGGCUGCUUUUCCAAGGACUGAAACAUGCACCAAUAAUAACAACACUGUCUGUUACAGUCACAUUUGUUUAGAUAUUAAAUAUAUACAUGUUUAAAUUUUG